CUCCUCCUGUUGUGUUCGAUACGACUCUGGAAUCCCUCGACCCUAAAUUUCAGAUAGGGGUCAUCGCCUGUUAGGCAGCUGUGAGCAUUACCGCCUCGGCGGAUAGCCUGGGCUGCCGCGGUUGACCCCACCUUCCGCUCUGGUUCGAGAGCAACGAUUCGUGACGGCAUAAACGGGAGGAGU
RNAcentral lists this non-coding RNA (183 nucleotides) under Gammaproteobacteria bacterium. Its description in RNAcentral is "6S RNA". It matches the Rfam family "6S / SsrS RNA". From Rfam's summary of the family: E. coli 6S RNA was the first non coding RNA to be sequenced, but its function was unknown until recently. It consists of 184 nucleotides that fold into an extended hairpin structure with a large single-stranded internal bulge. Lineage: Bacteria; Pseudomonadati; Pseudomonadota; Gammaproteobacteria. The record is from RNAcentral.